CACAGAACUUAGGAAAACACUUUUAUUUCCUGGCAUUAUUGAUGUCACAAUAGAUGCAGAAAAAGAAUGUCAUUGUGUGGACUGCCUGGAACAGGACCUUUCCAGGGCUUGAGUCAAGACUUUGCUGAUAAGGAGAGCCACAUGGUCUUCUCUGAGAGAUCAGGGAAUUUAUUUCUGAUCAUCUUCAAGACAGAAAAGAAGGACAAGAUUAGAGUUUCUGUGACCUGUCUUGGAGACAAGUAAUUCUAGUUCUUAUGACCAGCCUUGGGAGUGGAAUUAUGAUCUAGGCACCAUAGUUGAAAAGAGGUGCAUAUAGUCUUUCUCAGGAAAUCAAGUAUUCAAAAUUAAUGUACUUGUUAUAGGGAUACAAUAAAGCUACAGCCAUAUUUUAGGCAGAUAUUCUAUAGUGUCUACUUUCAAAUAGAAAAGGAUAGGACUAAGAAAUAAAUUUAUUUCAUAAACAUUUUUAUGUCAGCGAAAAGCUCAGAGAAAAGUAUAAGUACAAUAGCAUGAAAAACAACAUACAGUCUAGGGUGGAAGAUAGCACCUGUAAUGCGACCAUUCAAAAAACAACCACCUGAGCACUCUGAAUAUGAAGCCAGCAUGGGUGUGUUGAUUAGUGUUUGUCAACUUAAUGUAAACUGAAGGCAUCUGAGAAGAGGGAAUCUCAGUGGAGAAAAUGUCUCCAACAGAUUGGCGUAUAGUGAAACAGAAAGAUCCUUCAGCAGCAUGAGGCUUCUGAGCUGAAUGAGAACCCAGUGACUGUUUCCAAUCAACAAGCUCUCCAAAAAACAGCUUCCAAAUUGCCUUCAGCCCCUCGCUCCAUAGAUAUGCUAGUUGCUUACUAAUGAAGUUGAACUGAAUGGAUCCUUAGCAGUUCUCAUUCACAGAAUGAAAUCGAAGUGCUCUGUGCAUUCAGAAGAACUGCUCCUUACCACAAGAGUUCAGCUAUCAGGUAAGAACCUGAGAAACCUGGAGAAGAUUUCAGAACUUCCACAAGCGCUGAGAUGAGCUCUGGUGGGACAUUUUACAACGAAGAGGAUGCGGAAGAAGAUUGAGAGUGAUUAGACUGUCAACUGAGUCACAACACUUCAAAAGGGCAGGUUUUUAAGUACCUACUAUAUGUAUUGGUCAAGGUAAGCACAUAACACAGGUAUCAUUGUCCUCAGUAUGCACAUUCCUCCUUCCUUGAAAUUUGCAAUGAUAUUUCUUAUUGUUGU
This is a non-coding RNA of Myodes glareolus (Bank vole), 1220 nucleotides long. The record is from RefSeq and is a predicted model, not a curated record. NCBI's taxonomy places the organism in Eukaryota, Metazoa, Chordata, Mammalia, Rodentia, Cricetidae.